This 1799-nucleotide long non-coding RNA is filed under the name Citrus sinensis (sweet orange). RNAcentral's name for it is "long non-coding RNA (CSIN_LNC000227)". Lineage: Eukaryota; Viridiplantae; Streptophyta; Magnoliopsida; Sapindales; Rutaceae. The record is from RNAcentral.
ACGCUCAACCACAUAGCCAUUUUUAUUCACAUAACGCAAAACAGCAGUCAUUUGCUCCUUUGCAGAAAUAUCACGAGAUUCAUCAAUAAAGAUAGAAAUCAAAACAUCACAUAUCUCUCUAAUAAUAAUAUUGGUAGUUUCAACUGCAGCACAGCUUGCAGUGUCUUUUUAAAUCUCAUUUGAUGUCAUUUGAAUAUUUCCAGGAGCAUUAUUAAAAGUAACAACAUUAAUGUUUUCAUUAUGAUCAGCAAGAAAGCAUAGAAGCCCAAGAAAAUUCCCUCAGUUGCCUGAAUCUCUAAACUCAUCAUACCCAUGAAAUGCAAACCCUUAUUUUAAUAAAAACCAAAUUCAAUCAAUUGUAGCUAUCAUGUGAGCUCGAUAAUCGCUUUGAUGCUUGUCAGAAUGUCUUGUGUAAGCUGUUCGAAUGUGUUGAUUUUGAUUCAUCAACAUUUCACAUUUCUCUCUAACUUCGUUAUGGGCACUAUCAACAUCUCCCUUGUGUUCAACAAUUUUUUUCAGGUUUUCUCCAAUUUCUAAAACCUUUACCAACAAAUGAAUCACCACCCCCUUUAUUAUCAGUCUCUUCUUUAAAAAGAUAAUGAAAGAGACAAAAUGUCGUAUCUUUUUCUAUGCUAUAUUCCAACCAAGGUCUAAAUUUCCCAAACCAAUUACUAUCAAACCGCCUUUUUUGGUUUCCAAAUUCUAAAAGUUUGAAGUUGUGAUUUUUAAGUUAAAUAGGACCUCUUUGUAAGUAUACUCUUCAGACUUGAUCUUGAAUAGUAGGACUAUAACAAGAGAUUGGAAUUCGUAAACCAGGAUAUGUAGGAAGAUCUUGUAAAUUGAAUUUUUCAUCUUGAUUUGAGCUUUAUUUUGCUUUCUUUGGAGAAGGUUGUGACCAUGGUUUUCUUGAGUAAUAUUUCUCCAUAACUAUGACAAAUAAAUACAAUUAAUUGUGAGAAUUUAAAUAGAAACGAAUACAAUUUCCAUGUCAAAAUCUAAAAAAAUGAAAAUAUUACAAAAUAUUAAUUUAAUAAACCAACUACCUGACUAAAUUCCCAACCACUAAGUUACUAACCCAUCGCAGAAUCACCCAUGGAAUUGUUAUUCUAUUAUUUAUAAUCAGUAAAAUUAAAAGCAUCGCCACUUUAUCAACCCACAAAGCAUCGCCACAAUAUUCCAUUAAAAAAGGUAUAAACCAAUUCAAGAAUUAGAAUAUUAAAUCAUAAAGUGGUAGAGGUGUUUAAUUAUCAAAAUAAUUUAAUCAAAUUUUAAUAAUUAAUAUAAAAGCUGCAAAAGUGUGACGGUAGUACCAAAAAAAUGGAAAGAUGCAGUGGUGCAAGGCUUCGAGUGUGAGCUUCAAGCUGUAGCAUCUAUGGCAUGAAAACAAAGAGAUGUGAUGGCAUGAGAGUUGGACAGAGAUAGAUGACAGGUUGAUGGUAGUCGAUGGAGGUUUUCUUUGGCAAAGGAUUGAUGGUGAUGGUUAUGGAUUUGAUUUUGAGUUUUUUUUUGGAUUUUUAAUCGUUGCUUUAAAUAUUGGUCUUUUAGUUAUUUUAAAAACUUACUAAGGGCUUUAUUGUAAAUCCACUAAAAAUAAGAUGAAUUUAAUUUUUUUUUAAAUCUAGCAGGGGCUCAAGUGGUGCCGCCACUGACUGUAAUGAUGAAAUUGGAGGAGCAAGAUGAACUCAAGUAGUAGCAAUAGAGAAUCUGAGUCUGAACAGCUUCAUUCGACAACUAACGUAAGAAAAAUAAUUUUUUUGUAAUAUUUUUACUACCAACUUUUGUUUUGGGCUGUAUGUUGG